This 409-nucleotide ribosomal RNA is filed under the name uncultured bacterium. RNAcentral describes it as "bacterial SSU rRNA". It matches the Rfam family "Bacterial small subunit ribosomal RNA", at positions 28 to 419 of the family's 1533-position model. The record is from RNAcentral.
GAUGAACGCUAGCUACAGGCUUAACACAUGCAAGUCGAGGGGGCAGUAUGAACUUAGCUUGCUAAGUUUGAUGGCGACCGGCGCACGGGUGAGUAACGCGUAUCCAACCUGCCCUUUACGCGGGGAUAGCCUUCUGAAAGGAAGUUUAAUACCCGAUGAAUUCGUUUAGUCGCAUGGCUUGAUGAACAAAGAUUUAUCAGUAAAGGAUGGGGAUGCGUCCCAUUAGCUGGUUGGUGGGGGUUAAACGGCCCCACCAAGGCGACGAUGGGUAGGGGUUCUGAGAGGAAGGUCCCCCCACAUUGGAACUGAGACACGGUCCAAACUCCCUAACGGGGAGGCAGCAGUGAGGAAUAUUGGUCAAUGGGCGCGAGCCUGAACCAGCCAAGUAGCGUGGAGGACGACGGGCCCU